Molecule: ribosomal RNA, 424 nt
Filed under: Fusobacteriota bacterium
Lineage: Bacteria; Fusobacteriati; Fusobacteriota
Description: Fusobacteria bacterium partial 16S ribosomal RNA
Rfam family: Bacterial small subunit ribosomal RNA
Source: RNAcentral
UGAGGAAUAUUGGUCAAUGGGCGAGAGCCUGAACCAGCCAAGUCGCGUGAAGGAAGACAGUCCUAAGGAUUGUAAACUUCUUUUAUACGGGAAUAACGGGCGAUACGAGUAUUGCAUUGAAUGUACCGUAAGAAUAAGCAUCGGCUAACUCCGUGCCAGCAGCCGCGGUAAUACGGAGGAUGCGAGCGUUAUCCGGAUUUAUUGGGUUUAAAUGGUGCGUAGGUUGUUCGGUAAGUCAGCGGUGAAACCUGAGCGCUCAACGUUCAGCCUGCCGUUGAAACUGCCGGGCUUGAGUUCAGUGGCGGCAGGCGGAAUUCGUGGUGUAGCGGUGAAAUGCAUAGAUAUCACGAGGAACUCCGAUUGCGAAGGCAGCUUGCCAUACUGCGACUGACACUGAAGCACGAAGGCGUGGGUAUCAAACAGG